CCUACGGGGGGCUGCAGUGAGGACUAUUGGUCAAUGGACGAGAGUCUGAACCAGCCAAGUAGCGUGAAGGAUGACUGCCCUAUGGGUUGUAAACUUCUUUUAUAUGGGAAUAAAAUGUUCCACGUGUGGGAUUUUGUAUGUACCAUAUGAAUAAGGAUCGGCUAACUCCGUGCCAGCAGCCGCGGUAAUACGGAGGAUCCGAGCGUUCUCCGGAUUUAUUGGGUUUAAAGGGAGCGUAGGUGGAUUGUUAAGUCAGUUGUGAAAGUUUGCGGCUCAACCGUAAAAUUGCAGUUGAAACUGGCAGUCUUGAGUACAGUAGAGGUGGGCGGAAUUCGUGGUGUAGCGGUGAAAUGCUUAGAUAUCACGAAGAACUCCGAUUGCGAAGGCAGUUCACUGGACUGCAACUGACACUGAGGCUCGAAAGUGUGGGUAUCAAACAGGAUUAGAUACCCGAGUAGUC
RNAcentral lists this ribosomal RNA (460 nucleotides) under uncultured bacterium. Its description in RNAcentral is "partial 16S ribosomal RNA". It matches the Rfam family "Bacterial small subunit ribosomal RNA", at positions 338 to 795 of the family's 1533-position model. The record is from RNAcentral.